Zophobas morio is the source of this 651-nucleotide long non-coding RNA. RefSeq lists it as uncharacterized. The record is from RefSeq and is a predicted model, not a curated record. Lineage: Eukaryota; Metazoa; Arthropoda; Insecta; Coleoptera; Tenebrionidae. The transcript has 5 exons.
CUUAUGGACAGUUUACCAGGUGAUGUCCAUUAGCUUGGCUCCAAAACACUGGUUGAUAACUUUUUGUUGCAAGAAUUCAACCGCAACAAGUUGACAGAUUGGGAAUUAAUUCAUUCCAAAACUUCUAUAGAAUUGAAAUCUUGCUUCAGUAAAUCCUCUUGAAUACGGUAAGGUCUAUUCCAGUUCCGAUCAUAAAAAACUUUUUUUUGGUGCUUGUCUUCAGGGAAAGAAAACGUAAAAUAUUCGCAUUGUGUGGUCUCAAAAAGUUUAAUUAUUAAUUUGGUAAUUGUUGGAAAACCCCUUAAAGAAAAAAACAAAUCUGCUUUAUGCCCUAGAGUUUUGCCCUUUAAAGGGUUAAAUGGAAUAUAUAGAAUCAAAUUUUGAAACCACAUAUUGAACUUCUGAGUAUAGUUUCAUCAUAGAAAGUGAUAUCGCAGAAAAAAACAUAUCGUUUCAAGCCCGAGUUCUGACCGUUGCCAAUCCGGACUAUUAGGUUUUGUUUCGGUAAAGGCUUUGUUUCUUGUUCCGAAGAUAUAUCGUCUUCAAGAGGGAACUCACAAAAUAGGAAGUGCCAGUUAGAAGAGGACUUACAUCUGCUGAGCUGCGCCUUGGGAUAAUCUUAGCAACUAGUUGCUGAAUAAAGAAUGGUUC